UGAGGGAAUAUUGGGUCAAUGGACGCAAGUCUGAACCAGCCAAGUAGCGUGCAGGAUGACGGCCCUAUGGGUUGUAAACUGCUUUUAUGCGGGGAUAAAGUGUGCCAUGUAUGGCAUUUUGUAGGUACCGCAUGAAUAAGGACCGGCUAAUUCCGUGCCAGCAGCCGCGGUAAUACGGAAGGUCCGGGCGUUAUCCGGAUUUAUUGGGUUUAAAGGGAGCGUAGGCCGGAGAUUAAGCGUGUUGUGAAAUGUAGUGGCUCAACCUCUGCACUGCGGCGCGAACUGGUCUUCUUGAGUACGCACAACGUGGGCGGAAUUCGUGGUGUAGCGGUGAAAUGCUUAGAUAUGACGAAGAACUCCGAUUGGGAAGCCAGCUUACUGUAGCGCCACUGACGCUGAUGCUCGAAAGUGCGGGUAUCGAACAGGAUUAGAUACCCUGGUAGU
Molecule: ribosomal RNA, 444 nt
Filed under: uncultured Prevotella sp.
Lineage: Bacteria; Pseudomonadati; Bacteroidota; Bacteroidia; Bacteroidales; Prevotellaceae
Description: bacterial SSU rRNA
Rfam family: Bacterial small subunit ribosomal RNA
Source: RNAcentral